GGGGGCGUAGUUCAGUCGGUUAGAAUGCCGGCCUGUCACGCCGGAGGUCGCGGGUUCGAGCCCCGUCGCUCCCGCCA
RNAcentral lists this transfer RNA (77 nucleotides) under Magnetococcales bacterium. Its description in RNAcentral is "tRNA-Asp". It matches the Rfam family "tRNA". From Rfam's summary of the family: Transfer RNA (tRNA) molecules are approximately 80 nucleotides in length. Their secondary structure includes four short double-helical elements and three loops (D, anti-codon, and T loops). Further hydrogen bonds mediate the characteristic L-shaped molecular structure. tRNAs have two regions of fundamental functional importance: the anti-codon, which is responsible for specific mRNA codon recognition, and the 3' end, to which the tRNAs corresponding amino acid is attached (by aminoacyl-tRNA synthetases). tRNAs cope with the degeneracy of the genetic code in two manners: having more than one tRNA (with a specific anti-codon) for a particular amino acid; and 'wobble' base-pairing, i.e. permitting non-standard base-pairing at the 3rd anti-codon position. Lineage: Bacteria; Pseudomonadati; Pseudomonadota; Magnetococcia; Magnetococcales. RNAcentral also lists the same sequence under 3 other names. The record is from RNAcentral.